This 523-nucleotide ribosomal RNA is filed under the name uncultured bacterium. RNAcentral's name for it is "bacterial SSU rRNA". It matches the Rfam family "Bacterial small subunit ribosomal RNA", at positions 777 to 1297 of the family's 1533-position model. The record is from RNAcentral.
AAUAGAUACCCGGGUAGUCCACGCCGUAAACGAUGAGUGCUAAGUGUUAGAGGGUUUCCGCCCUUUAGUGCUGCAGCUAACGCAUUAAGCACUCCGCCUGGGGAGUACGGCCGCAAGGCUGAAACUCAAAGGAAUUGACGGGGGCCCGCACAAGCGGUGGAGCAUGUGGUUUAAUUCGAAGCAACGCGAAGAACCUUACCAGGUCUUGACAUCCUCUGCCAACCCUAGAGAUAGGGCGUUCCCCUUCGGGGGACAGAGUGACAGGUGGUGCAUGAUUGUUGUCAGCUCGUGUCGUGAGAUGUUGGGUUAAGUCCCGCAACGAGCGCAACCCUUGAUCUUAGUUGCCAGCAUUUAGUUGGGCACUCUAAGGUGACUGCCGGUGACAAACCGGAGGAAGGUGGGGAUGACGUCAAAUCAUCAUGCCCCUUAUGACCUGGGCUACACACGUGCUACAAUGGAUGGUACAAAGAGCUGCAAAACCCGCGAGGGUAAGCGAAUCUCAUAAAGCCAUUCUCAGUUCGGA